GACGUAGGGCGCGAGCGUUGUCCGGAUUUAUUGGGCGUAAAGAGCUCGUAGGCGGUCUGUCGCGUCUGCUGUGAAAUCCCGAGGCUCAACCUCGGGCUUGCAGUGGGUACGGGCAGGCUAGAGUGCGGGUAGGGGAGAAUGGGAACUCCGUGGUGUAGCGGUGGAAUGCGCAGAUAUCAGGAAGAACACCGAUGGCGAAGGCAGUUCUCUGGGCCGUAACUGACGCUGAG
Molecule: ribosomal RNA, 230 nt
Filed under: uncultured bacterium
Lineage: Bacteria
Description: partial 16S ribosomal RNA
Rfam family: Bacterial small subunit ribosomal RNA
Source: RNAcentral